This 1395-nucleotide ribosomal RNA is filed under the name Salmonella enterica subsp. enterica serovar Infantis. RNAcentral's name for it is "bacterial LSU rRNA". It matches the Rfam family "Bacterial large subunit ribosomal RNA", at positions 1552 to 2925 of the family's 2925-position model. The record is from RNAcentral. Lineage: Bacteria; Pseudomonadati; Pseudomonadota; Gammaproteobacteria; Enterobacterales; Enterobacteriaceae.
AACACUGAGGCGUGAUGACGAGGCACUACGGUGCUGAAGCAACAAAUGCCCUGCUUCCAGGAAAAGCCUCUAAGCAUCAGGUAACAUCAAAUCGUACCCCAAACCGACACAGGUGGUCAGGUAGAGAAUACCAAGGCGCUUGAGAGAACUCGGGUGAAGGAACUAGGCAAAAUGGUGCCGUAACUUCGGGAGAAGGCACGCUGACACGUAGGUGAAGUGAUUUACUCACGGAGCUGAAGUCAGUCGAAGAUACCAGCUGGCUGCAACUGUUUAUUAAAAACACAGCACUGUGCAAACACGAAAGUGGACGUAUACGGUGUGACGCCUGCCCGGUGCCGGAAGGUUAAUUGAUGGGGUCAGCGCAAGCGAAGCUCCUGAUCGAAGCCCCGGUAAACGGCGGCCGUAACUAUAACGGUCCUAAGGUAGCGAAAUUCCUUGUCGGGUAAGUUCCGACCUGCACGAAUGGCGUAAUGAUGGCCAGGCUGUCUCCACCCGAGACUCAGUGAAAUUGAACUCGCUGUGAAGAUGCAGUGUACCCGCGGCAAGACGGAAAGACCCCGUGAACCUUUACUAUAGCUUGACACUGAACAUUGAGCCUUGAUGUGUAGGAUAGGUGGGAGGCUUUGAAGCGUGGACGCCAGUCUGCGUGGAGCCGACCUUGAAAUACCACCCUUUAAUGUUUGAUGUUCUAACGUGGACCCGUGAUCCGGGUUGCGGACAGUGUCUGGUGGGUAGUUUGACUGGGGCGGUCUCCUCCUAAAGAGUAACGGAGGAGCACGAAGGUUGGCUAAUCCUGGUCGGACAUCAGGAGGUUAGUGCAAUGGCAUAAGCCAGCUUGACUGCGAGCGUGACGGCGCGAGCAGGUGCGAAAGCAGGUCAUAGUGAUCCGGUGGUUCUGAAUGGAAGGGCCAUCGCUCAACGGAUAAAAGGUACUCCGGGGAUAACAGGCUGAUACCGCCCAAGAGUUCAUAUCGACGGCGGUGUUUGGCACCUCGAUGUCGGCUCAUCACAUCCUGGGGCUGAAGUAGGUCCCAAGGGUAUGGCUGUUCGCCAUUUAAAGUGGUACGCGAGCUGGGUUUAGAACGUCGUGAGACAGUUCGGUCCCUAUCUGCCGUGGGCGCUGGAGAACUGAGGGGGGCUGCUCCUAGUACGAGAGGACCGGAGUGGACGCAUCACUGGUGUUCGGGUUGUCAUGCCAAUGGCACUGCCCGGUAGCUAAAUGCGGAAGAGAUAAGUGCUGAAAGCAUCUAAGCACGAAACUUGCCCCGAGAUGAGUUCUCCCUGAGACUUAGAGUCUCCUGAAGGAACGUUGAAGACGACGACGUUGAUAGGCCGGGUGUGUAAGCGCAGCGAUGCGUUGAGCUAACCGGUACUAAUGAACCGUGAGGCUUAACC